RNAcentral lists this long non-coding RNA (526 nucleotides) under Vitis vinifera (wine grape). Its description in RNAcentral is "long non-coding RNA (VVIN_LNC005920)". The record is from RNAcentral. Lineage: Eukaryota; Viridiplantae; Streptophyta; Magnoliopsida; Vitales; Vitaceae.
UAAAGUUCUGUCACAAGAAUUCCGCUCCUAUCUACUCCACCAUAAAGAAGGCUCUAGGACGGUGCCAAUCAGACAGUUGUAACCAACAACGAGGUGAUGAAACCCUUUCUAAGGAUAAGACAUAAAUGAAGAUUAGUUGGCCAACUGUAACAAUUGCAAAAGAGAAAAAAAAAAAAAAAAAAAGACAUUUUAAUCUUCAAAAUUUUAAAUUCACAUUUAUUGCACAAUUUUCUAUUACUACCAAAAAUAGAAUAAUUGAUUUAAAACAACUAAAAUAAAUUAAAAUAAAAGGGAAAAGAACCUGGCACCAUGGCGUUUGAAGCAUAGCUAGGAUGGUCCGGAGAAAAGGCUGAGAACAGAAUGAAGAGAACAGAGGAUAUGAUUUCCAUUCAGAUGGGAAACAGAGUGGGAGUAAACAGAUGGGCAGAGGUGACAGUAGGCUGAUUGGGAGAAACAUCUUCAAUCAGGGUUUACAGCUGCGCCAUUUCCAUAUGGGGCUUGUGGCAGUGACCAGUGAUCGGUGAUC